This 319-nucleotide long non-coding RNA is filed under the name Mytilus galloprovincialis (Mediterranean mussel). The record is from RNAcentral. Lineage: Eukaryota; Metazoa; Mollusca; Bivalvia; Mytilida; Mytilidae.
CAUUCAACAUAGUGACUAAAUUGUCAAUUAUUUAUUGGAGAACAUCAUCUAUAUAUCGGAAAGUAAAGUUAAAGGAUACUGCUCACUUCUUUACUAAGAAGUUCCUGUAUGAAGUCAGCCUCAUAAGAAUAAAGGAACCUAGUCAGCAAGAAGAGGGGUACAAUUUGUUCCCAUAGAAAUGUUGAUGGUUUGUUGAAAAACACGUCCUCAAAACAACAAAUAUGUUGUCAAUCCCGAAAUCAAUCAUCUUGGUGAUGUCAGUUUCAUAGAAUUUUUGUUUGAAUCGGAUGGAUUCUUUACAAAGUCGAAUCUACCCCUC